Molecule: non-coding RNA, 24 nt
Filed under: Arabidopsis thaliana (thale cress)
Lineage: Eukaryota; Viridiplantae; Streptophyta; Magnoliopsida; Brassicales; Brassicaceae
Source: RNAcentral
AAAGAUGAUGUGUAUACAUAACUG